Molecule: ribosomal RNA, 779 nt
Filed under: Bacillus sp. (in: firmicutes)
Lineage: Bacteria; Bacillati; Bacillota; Bacilli; Caryophanales; Bacillaceae
Description: bacterial SSU rRNA
Rfam family: Bacterial small subunit ribosomal RNA
Source: RNAcentral
GCCUUAUUACAUGCAGUCGAGCGGACAGAUGGGAGCUUGCUCCCUGAUGUUAGCGGCGGACGGGUGAGUAACACGUGGGUAACCUGCCUGUAAGACUGGGAUAACUCCGGGAAACCGGGGCUAAUACCGGAUGGUUGUUUGAACCGCAUGGUUCAAACAUAAAAGGUGGCUUCGGCUACCACUUACAGAUGGACCCGCGGCGCAUUAGCUAGUUGGUGAGGUAACGGCUCACCAAGGCGACGAUGCGUAGCCGACCUGAGAGGGUGAUCGGCCACACUGGGACUGAGACACGGCCCAGACUCCUACGGGAGGCAGCAGUAGGGAAUCUUCCGCAAUGGACGAAAGUCUGACGGAGCAACGCCGCGUGAGUGAUGAAGGUUUUCGGAUCGUAAAGCUCUGUUGUUAGGGAAGAACAAGUACCGUUCGAAUAGGGCGGUACCUUGACGGUACCUAACCAGAAAGCCACGGCUAACUACGUGCCAGCAGCCGCGGUAAUACGUAGGUGGCAAGCGUUGUCCGGAAUUAUUGGGCGUAAAGGGCUCGCAGGCGGUUUCUUAAGUCUGAUGUGAAAGCCCCCGGCUCAACCGGGGAGGGUCAUUGGAAACUGGGGAACUUGAGUGCAGAAGAGGAGAGUGGAAUUCCACGUGUAGCGGUGAAAUGCGUAGAGAUGUGGAGGAACACCAGUGGCGAAGGCGACUCUCUGGUCUGUAACUGACGCUGAGGAGCGAAAGCGUGGGGAGCGAACAGGAUUAGAUACCCUGGUAGUCCACGCCGUAAAC